This 755-nucleotide ribosomal RNA is filed under the name Recurva conjuncta. Its description in RNAcentral is "SSU rRNA". It matches the Rfam family "Eukaryotic small subunit ribosomal RNA", at positions 133 to 893 of the family's 1831-position model. The record is from RNAcentral. Lineage: Eukaryota; Metazoa; Platyhelminthes; Tricladida; Dugesiidae.
UUGCCACAGGAUAACUGUGGUAAUUCUAGAGCUAAUACUCAUUAGAAUACCGUGACUCACGAAGCGGUGGAUUUAUUAGAUCAAAACUAAACUGUCGCAAGACAGUUAUUUGAUGACUCUGGAUAACUUUAACUGAUCGUACAACAAAUCGAGUUGACGACGAAUCUCUUGAAAUGGCUGACCUAUCAACUGUCGAUGGUAAGAUAGACGCUUACCAUGGUUGUAACGGGUAACGGGGAAUCAGUGUUCGAUUCCGGAGAGGGAGCCUGAGAAACGGCUACCACAUCCACGGAAGGCAGCAGGCGCGAAAAUUACCCAAUACCGGUACGGUGAGGUAGUGACAAUAAAUAACAAUAUGGACCAUUUAUGGUUUCAUAAUUGCAAUGAGAAUNUCUUAAAUACUUUAUCAAGUAUCAAUUGGAGGGCAAGUCUGGUGCCAGCAGCCGCGGUAAUUCCAGCUCCAAAAGCGUAUAUUAAAGUUGUUGCAGUUAAAAAGCUCGUAGUUGGAAUUGAGGAAUCUAUGAUAGUGGAAAAUCCAUGAUUGGAAGCUAUCUAGUCCUUCGCGUCGUGUAUAUCUUUGAUGCUCUUUAAUGUGUGUUGAAGAUGACCGACAAGUUUACUUUGAAAAAAUUAGAGUGCUUAAAGCAGGCUUACGCUUGUAUAUUGUUGCAUGGAAUAAUGAAAUAAGACUUUUGUUUUAUUUUGUUGGUUUUCGAAACAGAAGUAAUGAUUAAAAGAGACUGCCGGGGGCAUAU